Molecule: ribosomal RNA, 464 nt
Filed under: uncultured Klebsiella sp.
Lineage: Bacteria; Pseudomonadati; Pseudomonadota; Gammaproteobacteria; Enterobacterales; Enterobacteriaceae
Description: bacterial SSU rRNA
Rfam family: Bacterial small subunit ribosomal RNA
Source: RNAcentral
CCUACGGGCGGCUGCAGUGGGGAAUAUUGCACAAUGGGCGCAAGCCUGAUGCAGCCAUGCCGCGUGUGUGAAGAAGGCCUUCGGGUUGUAAAGCACUUUCAGCGGGGAGGAAGGCGUUAAGGUUAAUAACCUUGGCGAUUGACGUUACCCGCAGAAGAAGCACCGGCUAACUCCGUGCCAGCAGCCGCGGUAAUACGGAGGGUGCAAGCGUUAAUCGGAAUUACUGGGCGUAAAGCGCACGCAGGCGGUCUGUCAAGUCGGAUGUGAAAUCCCCGGGCUCAACCUGGGGACUGCAUUCGAAACUGGCAGGCUAGAGUCUUGUAGAGGGGGGUAGAAUUCCAGGUGUAGCGGUGAAAUGCGUAGAGAUCUGGAGGAAUACCGGUGGCGAAGGCCGCCCCCUGGACAAAGACUGACGCUCAGGUGCGAAAGCGUGGGGAGCAAACAGGAUUAGAUACCUUGUAGUC